GAUGAACGCUGGCGGCGUGCUUAACACAUGCAAGUCGAACGAUGAAGCCCAGAUUGCUGGGUGGAUUAGUGGCGAACGGGGGAGUAACACGUGAGUAACCUGCCCUUAAAUCUGGGAUAAGACUGGGAAACUGGGUCUAAUACCGGAUAGGAGCGUGCACCGCAUGGUGGGUGUUGGAAAGAUUUAUCGGUUUUGGAUGGACUCGCGGCCUAUCAGCUUGUUGGUGAGGUAAUGGCUCACCAAGGCGACGACGGGUAGCCAGCCUGAGAGGGUGACCGGCCACACUUAUACUGAGGCACGCCCCAGACUCCUACUGGAAACAGCAGUGAGGAAUAUUGCACAAUGGACGCAAGCCUGAUGCAGCGACUCCACGUGAGGGAUGACGGCCUUCGGGUUGUAAACCUCUUUCAGUAGGGAAGAAGCGAAAGUAACGGUACCUGCACAAGAAGCACCGGCUAACUACGUG
RNAcentral lists this ribosomal RNA (466 nucleotides) under uncultured bacterium. RNAcentral's name for it is "partial 16S ribosomal RNA". It matches the Rfam family "Bacterial small subunit ribosomal RNA", at positions 28 to 507 of the family's 1533-position model. The record is from RNAcentral.